This is an RNA transcript of Glycine soja, 1169 nucleotides long. It is a transcript of the gene named armadillo repeat-containing protein 7, with no coding region annotated. The transcript is spliced from 7 exons. The record is from RefSeq and is a predicted model, not a curated record. Lineage: Eukaryota; Viridiplantae; Streptophyta; Magnoliopsida; Fabales; Fabaceae.
CGAGUUUUAACUAAAAAUUAAAAACAGAAUCAAAUAUCCAUCGUCUCCACCGACCGGUGUUUAUAUUUCUUUUUCCCUGGUUUGCUGAGGCACCCACAUCUAGACUUGGUUUCUUCUCUCUAAUCUCAACAUUUCCAUUUUCCACCUUUUAUUGGAAGUUUCAUACCAGAAUUCACUGAACUUGCAUUAGAUGAGGGCAAAACAUGCGAGCAAAGCAAAAAUCUGAUCCCUAAUCUCUGUUUUUGCUCUGGACUCUCCCAAUACCCACCCAAUUGAAAAAUUGAAAUCCCCUUUUUUUGCGUUAAACGAAAGCAACGUAUUCACCCAAACCCUAGAACCACUUCCAGAUCAAAACCAACGCGAUUGCGCGAUCAAAAGAAGGCCAGCAUACAUGUUCACCAAUGACCAAAGGCAACAAGAACGAACUGGGAGAUAUGGAACUUCCAGAGUGGAAUUCCUUCAGGACCUUUGAUGGAUAAUGGUUGUUUCAGAAAUUGGUGACUCAGUUUCAGAACACAUCUGAGGAUGAAACAAGAGAGAAAAUUUUAGCAAAUUUGGCCAACUUUGCCUAUGAUCCUUACAACUACAACUUCUUGCGUCAGCUUAAUGUUUUGGAACUUUUCGUUGACUGCUUAACUGAACCCAAUGAAAAGCUUGUAGAAUUUGGUAUAGGAGGGAUCUGCAAUUCUUGUGUUGAUCCGGCCAAUUCUGCAAUUGUAACUACGUUUGGUGGGAUACCUCUUAUAAUCCAAUGUUUAUCAAGCCCAGUUAGGAACACUGUAAAUUAUGCACUUGGGGCACUUUAUUAUAUCUGUAACGAAUCUAACAAGGAGGAGAUUUUAAGGCCCGAAGUUGUUGAUGUCAUUAGGAGGUAUGCAGCCGCUGAAGAAGUUAGUGUGAGCUUCAGUAAUCUGGCUAAAGCUUUUCUGAGUAAACAUCUGGCCGAGAACUACUGAGAGACACAGCUUACCUUUCCAUACUCAUUAUAAGACCAUAUGUCUUGAGUAAGGCAACAAGUAAUUAGAAAGAACUAUUAUUAUUGUUUGAUCAAAUAUUAUUAUUCUUGUUAUUGUUAUCACACUAUUCAUGUCUAGAAAGAAUUAGACCAUACAAGAUACUAUUUGACAUUGAGAAUGGUUUCACCCAAAAAAAGGUUUUGAUCGUGGGUA